RNAcentral lists this ribosomal RNA (505 nucleotides) under uncultured microorganism. Its description in RNAcentral is "bacterial SSU rRNA". It matches the Rfam family "Bacterial small subunit ribosomal RNA", at positions 28 to 508 of the family's 1533-position model. The record is from RNAcentral.
GACGAACGCUGGCGGCGUGCCUAACACAUGCAAGUCGAGCGGCAGCAGGCUGGUUCCUUCGGGAACCGGUGCUGGCGAGCGGCGAACGGGUGAGUAACGCGUGGGUAACCUACCCCAAAGACCGGGAUAACUCGCCGAAAGGCGGGCUAAUACCGGAUACUCUCACCUUCUCGCAUGAGGAGGUGAGGAAAGGUUCUGCUUUUAGCGGAUUCCGCUUUGGGAUGGGCCCGCGUCCCAUUAGCUAGUUGGUAGGGUAAAAGCCUACCAAGGCUACGAUGGGUAGCCGGCCUGAGAGGGUGUCCGGCCACACUGGGACUGAGACACGGCCCAGACUCCUACGGGAGGCAGCAGUGGGGAAUUUUGGGCAAUGCCCGCAAGGGUGACCCAGCAACGCCGCGUGGGGGAUGAAGGCCUUCGGGUCGUAAACCCCUGUCAGGAGGGACGAAGCUCCGACAUUAUGUCGGGGUGACGGUACCUCCAGAGGAAGCCCCGGCUAACUACGUGC